Molecule: ribosomal RNA, 588 nt
Filed under: uncultured bacterium
Lineage: Bacteria
Description: partial 16S ribosomal RNA
Rfam family: Bacterial small subunit ribosomal RNA
Source: RNAcentral
UGGGGAAUUUUGGACAAUGGGCGAAAGCCUGAUCCAGCAAUGCCGCGUGUGUGAAGAAGGCCUUCGGGUUGUAAAGCACUUUUGUCCGGAAAGAAAUCCUUGGCUCUAAUACAGUCGGGGGGAUGACGGUACCGGAAGAAUAAGCACCGGCUAACUACGUGCCAGCAGCCGCGGUAAUACGUAGGGUGCAAGCGUUAAUCGGAAUUACUGGGCGUAAAGCGUGCGCAGGCGGUUUGCUAAGACCGAUGUGAAAUCCCCGGGCUCAACCUGGGAACUGCAUUGGUGACUGGCAGGCUAGAGUAUGGCAGAGGGGGGUAGAAUUCCACGUGUAGCAGUGAAAUGCGUAGAGAUGUGGAGGAAUACCGAUGGCGAAGGCAGCCCCCCUGGGCCAAUACUGACGCUCAUGCACGAAAGCGUGGGGAGCAAACAGGAUUAGAUACCCUGGUAGUCCACGCCCUAAACGAUGUCAACUAGUUGUUGGGGAUUCAUUUCCUUAGUAACGUAGCUAACGCGUGAAGUUGACCGCCUGGGGGAGUACGGUCGCAAGAUUAAAACUCAAAUGAAUUGACGGGGUCAUAGCUGUUUCCU